This 305-nucleotide long non-coding RNA is filed under the name Hordeum vulgare. Its description in RNAcentral is "long non-coding RNA (HVUL_LNC000276)". The record is from RNAcentral. Lineage: Eukaryota; Viridiplantae; Streptophyta; Magnoliopsida; Poales; Poaceae.
GUUGCUUUUGCUUAUCUAUUCCCUUUAGAUGUAUAUACAUGCACCGUAACAUUGCGGAUACUCAUACUACAGAAACAUGCUCGAUCAACCAGAAAACAUAGCAUUGCUCCAAUUCCUUCAAGUUAAGGACAAAACAACCUGACAGAUACACAGGAGCAGGUACCCUCUUUCGCGUCAAAGUCUCAACGGAAAUGGGUUUCCUCCUGUGCUAUCCUCUUUCGCGUCAAAGUCUCAACGGAAAUGGGUUUCCUCCUGUGCUUGCCUGGACGAGGUUGUGGUUGAUCGUCACAUCCGCGAAAACAACC